This 485-nucleotide ribosomal RNA is filed under the name Gnarosophia bellendenkerensis. RNAcentral describes it as "partial 12S ribosomal RNA". Lineage: Eukaryota; Metazoa; Mollusca; Gastropoda; Stylommatophora; Camaenidae. The record is from RNAcentral.
AUUUGUGCACAAUUUAAUAGAUUCAUUUAAUAAAUGUAAUUAUAAUUACUGUUAAGUCCAUCUUUUGUAUUUAUUACAUUAAUACAUCCGUUAAAAACCAAAAAUGUAACUCGCCUAUUCCGUGUAAUGGUCUGCACCUUGAUCUGUCUUUUUAAUUGGUAUUACAGCGGUAUAACUUCUAGUGAUACCUGACGACGACGGCAUACAGGAAUUUUACACGGUUGAUUACCUUGGUGGUUGUCAUUUAUAUGGUAAGUUCCCCUAAAUUAAAAUUACCGCCAUGUUGUUUAAGUUUUAACUUUUAAAGUUGUAAUCCUCUGCAAAUAGGUUAAGCAUUUGUAUAGAGGGGUAUCUAAUCCCUGUUUAUCACUAAUGUUUCGAAUAAGCGUCACGCAGGUAGAGUUACAAAUUGACAUAUUUUACCAUUUGUGAAUAGUACGGGCGUGCUAUGUUGCGGAAUCUCUCUUUUACUAAAGUAUGACCGC